RNAcentral lists this ribosomal RNA (433 nucleotides) under uncultured bacterium. RNAcentral describes it as "partial 16S ribosomal RNA". It matches the Rfam family "Bacterial small subunit ribosomal RNA", at positions 29 to 507 of the family's 1533-position model. The record is from RNAcentral.
AACGAACGCUGGCGGCAUGCCUAACACAUGCAAGUCGAACGAGACCUUCGGGUCUAGUGGCGCACGUCUGCGUAACGCGUGGGAACCUGCCCUUAGGUUAGGAAUAACUCCCCGAAGGGGGUCCUAAUACCGGUUAAUGUCUUCCGACCAAAGAUUUAUCGCCUUUGGAUGGGCCCGCGUUGGAUUAGUCAGUUGGUAGGGUACAAGCCUACCAAGGCGACGAUCCAUAGCUGGUCUGUGAGGAUGAUCAGCCACACUGGGAAUGAGACACGGCCCAGACUCGUACGGGAGGCAGCAGUAGGGAAUAUUGGACACUGGGCGAAAGCCUGAUCCAGCAAUGCCGCGUGAGUGAUGAAGGCCUUAGGGUUGUAAAGCUGUUUUACCCGGGAUGAUAAUGACAGUACCGGGAGAAUAAGCUCCGGCUAACUCCGUG